GCUUGUGAAGGGAGAACAGGUGUGUGUAUUUGUACUGAUUACUACCAGAGACAAACAGCAGAGAGAGGCUUGUCCUUGUCGGGACGGAGGUGUUGGACGGAACCGUUCCCUCCAUUUCUGACGAUAGAGACGGCCAGGCCUACAGUGCUGGACACACACUCACACUCCAACUGAAUUUGGCUGCAAGUACAUGUGCCUCUUCCCACCUACCAGGUCACUGGUAAUGUAGCCCUCCCUCACAAACACAUCCAUGAUGCUUCCUGGCCUCUCUGGGAGUUUCCAUAUGUUGUGAUGAUUUCAACACAAAAGCCAGGCUCUGAGCCUCGGCUCAGUAAAGCGCUGCUGCCGUGUGGUAACACUAUAUUCCAAGCAUGCAUCUGCCUCUCCCGCAAGGCUCAGAGCAACAGCCUGUGCCAACAUCAUCGGGAGUUCCAUAUAUUACCCAUCUCCAUUCCAGAACCCGGUGACGAAUGGAUUGACCUGGGUCUGAUGUCACAUCCAAACCUGCGCUGGAAAACGGCAGAGGCAGGGGGUCUUUCAACCCCUUGCAACUCUUUCAACCCCUUGGGGGCCCCUUGCAUUUGUGACGGGAAACUGUUUAUAAAUACUCCCGUGGGAUUCGGCACUAAUGAAGAGAAAGCGUGACCCUGGUACGGUCAGUUUGCAGUGAGUGCGGAGUUGGAGGGCUUCCACUGCUCCUAACAACAGCACUCCAUUUUGCUGUGCCUGAAAUGACAAGUGAAGGUCAAUCUCUUGGCCGAAAAAGUAGGGACCGCUACCGUACCCAUCUACCCUGCUCUCCCCUCCUCUUCCCACCCCAGUUUGCCAGCUUUUUGGGGUUGGUUUGCGCCACAUUCCCGCAAAAAGAGAGAAUUUUUGAGGUUAGUCAGUCCUGUGUGAGUGUGGACAAUGCGCAGGGCUUUGUGCCACUGAUCCAAAGCCAGUGGAACCGUUUCAAAGGCAGCAAAGGAGAGUCAAAUGGAGGAUGCUCCAUUUCAGACACUCUUGAAGGCAAUUAACUCAGUGUGUGAGUGGGCCAUUCAGAGGCCUGACUGUGAUUAAAUCAAUUUGAUAAUGAUACACUCACUUGCUGCUGUUAUGAGCUGCCUGUUUGUUUUCGGUAGAGGAGUUUCAGAACACGAUCAAACUAAAUCAUUCUGACAGCACAGAAACUAGAGACCGAAAUUACUACAGAGUUCGAUUUUUAAUUGGCAGCACGCCUCUGAUUGUUUUAGUGCCGGAAUGAAGCAUAAAAAGUCACAGGCUUUACCCACAAGGCUGUUGCUAUACAUUAUCAUAUUUUACUACUAGUCAUAUUUUGACAUGCUGUGAUUAUCAAUUAUAGGUUUUAUUUCAGUUUCCUCAUUUAAAUACCUCAUGAAGGUACUUAAGUACCUCAAAAUUGUU
Long non-coding RNA from Sinocyclocheilus rhinocerous, 1407 nucleotides. RefSeq lists it as uncharacterized. NCBI's taxonomy places the organism in Eukaryota, Metazoa, Chordata, Actinopteri, Cypriniformes, Cyprinidae. The record is from RefSeq and is a predicted model, not a curated record. The transcript is spliced from 4 exons.